This 44-nucleotide non-coding RNA is filed under the name Schistosoma mansoni. Lineage: Eukaryota; Metazoa; Platyhelminthes; Trematoda; Strigeidida; Schistosomatidae. The record is from RNAcentral.
AGCGGCUGACGAGUCCAAAAUAGGACGAAACGCGCGUCCUGGAU